AUGGGGACAGAAUCAGCAACUCUUUCCAGAAACAUAACGGUGAAUAAAUGGAAACAGAGAAGAGACAGUUGCCCAAGAAAUUUGCCUACCCUGCCCCACCCAAAGAAGCUGAUCUGUGUGAACUACAUCAACAGGCUCCCUUGCCUUCUGGCUCCUGGUGAAUUCUGCCACAACAACAAAAGAUUGGCGGGAUGGAGAAGAAUAAGAUUGUGGUGUGUAUUCCACUGGCUGAUGCUCUGUGCUGUUGCCUGGGGGUGAUUGUGUUUCUAAGUAAGAUCAGAGGGUCUUUCAAAGCAGCUCCUUCCAUAUAAUUCCCUCUUUCCAGCUUUGAUAAGCUCGCACUCCCUUUGCCAUCCAGGCCUAGGAAUAUUGAUAGCACUGCUGUAUUUCACUUUUGUUUGGGGUUUAUCUACAUUUUCCCCGCACUUUUGUAACCAGCCUCUUAUCCUUGAAUUAUUUUGAUUUGUGAAGAUCAUCUGUUUCCUGACGGGCCCUUGACUCAAUAAAAGUUGGAGUGCUUGAUCCAGCUAGCAUCCCCCUUCUAAGCCUGAGGAUUAUAGAUUUAGUAUUAAUAAAGUAGGUAAUGAGAUUAUCCUCCUUGUAGUUCCUUGUAAAUGGAGCAUCUGAUAGUGACCUUUUAUGCACAGAAUUUUUCUUUUUUUGAGACGGAGUUUCCCUCUUAUUACCCAGGCUGGAGUGCAAUGGCGCGAUCUCGGCUCACCACAACCUCCGCCUCCUGGGUUCAGGCAAUUCUCCUGCCUCAGCCUCCUGAGUACCUGGGAUUACAGGCACGUGCCACCAUGCCCAGCUAAUUUUUUGUAUUUUUAGUAGAGACGGGGUUUCACCAUGUUGACCGGGAUGGUCUCGAUCUCUUGACCUCGUGAUCCACCCGCCUCGGCCUCCCAAAGUGCUGGGAUUACAGGCUUGAGCCACUACGCCCGGCCCAGCCAAGUUAAAUGUAAAGGAGUUUAAUUGAGCAAUGAAUGAUUCACAAGUUGGGCAGCCUUCAGAAUUACAGCAGUUUCAGAGAGAUUCCAGGGAUGCCUCAUCGUCAGAACAAAUUUAUAGACUAAAACGGGGAGUGACGUAUAGAAAUCGGAAGUGAGGUACAGAAACAGCUGGAUUGGGUACAGGCUGGUGUUUGCCUUAUUUGAACAGUUUGAACACUUAGCAGAAAUUCAUAGAAAUCUCCACAGAAGACUUCCACAGCAAAUAUGAGAGAAAAACAUUUUCCAACAGUAAAUUUCAGAGAAAGACCUCACAUUUUUAGCAGGAGGAGGGUAAAGGGGCCAUUUUUAAAUAUACCACAACGUUCUGUUCUUAACAAAAUCUGUUCUCAGGGGAAACUAAAGAGCCUAACCUGCUGGAACUAUCAAGCCUAAUUAACCCGAGGGAAAGGAAAUACUCAACUCCAGCUGAUUCUAGCUAGAGAAAGUUCAUAAGUUAUCUUCAUCAUGUCUCAGCAAAGGAAAGAAAAAAUAAAACCUGAGAAUCAUGUGUAAAGUUCACAGUCCAGACGGACAGGCUCACUAUAAGACUGACACCUAAUCAUAAGACUAAGAAUGCAUCUCCUCCCCCAACACCUUAACCAAUACAGUACCAAAGGCCUAUUGAUGGCAGUUUCUUUUGCCCAGCACGUCGCGUCUAUCUAGACAGCAAGAAAAAUUACAAGACAUACUAAAUGGCAAAAUACAAAGUUUGAAGAGGCAGAGCAAGCGUCCCAACCAGACCUGGAUAAGGCAAGGAUGUUGAAAUGAUCAGACUCAGCAUUUAAACAACUGUGAUUCAUAUGCUAAGAGCUCUAAUGGAGGAGGUAGACAGCAUGCAACAACAGAUGGACAGUGUAAGCAGACAGAUGGAAAUCUUGAGAAAGUCCCCAAAAGAAAUGCAAACCAAAAACACUGUGAAAGAAGCGAAGAAUGUCUUUGAUGGGCUUCUUGGUAGACUGGAUAUAGCUGAGGAAACAAUCUGAG
Molecule: long non-coding RNA, 1973 nt
Filed under: Callithrix jacchus (white-tufted-ear marmoset)
Lineage: Eukaryota; Metazoa; Chordata; Mammalia; Primates; Cebidae
Description: lncRNA (ENSCJAG00000083967.1)
Source: RNAcentral